Long non-coding RNA from Oxyura jamaicensis (ruddy duck), 1278 nucleotides. RefSeq lists it as uncharacterized. NCBI's taxonomy places the organism in Eukaryota, Metazoa, Chordata, Aves, Anseriformes, Anatidae. The record is from RefSeq and is a predicted model, not a curated record. The transcript has 6 exons.
GGCUCCCUGACCAUCAAGGACCUCAGGUGGGCACCAGUACGCUCCCAGUAAGCUCCCAGUAUCACCAGUAAGCUCCCAGUUAGAGCAGGAAGCUCCCAGUUAGAGCAGGAAGCUCCCAGUUAGACCAGUAACUUGAGCCGUGGGUGCUGCUGGGGGUCCUGGGGGGGUUCCCUGACCAUCAAGGACCUCAGGUGGGCACCAGUAUGCUCCCAGUAUGCUCCCAGUGGGCACCAGUACGCUCCCAGUAAGACCAGUAAGCUCCCAGUUAGAGCAGGAAGCUCCCAGUAAGACCACUAGGCUCCCAGUAUCUCCAGUAGCUUGAGCCGUGGGUGCUGCUGGGGGUUCUGGGGGGGCUCCCUCACCAUCAAAGACCUCAGGUGGGCACCAGUACGCUCCCAGUAAGCUCCCAGUACACUCCCAGUAUCACCAGUAAGCUCCCAGUAAGACCAGUAAGCUCCCAGUUAGAGCAGGAAGCUCCCAGUUAGAGCGGGAAGCUCCCAGUAUCUCCAGUAACUCAGGCCCAUGGGUGCUGCUGGGGGUCCUGGGGGGGCUCCCUGACCAUCAAGGACCUCAGGUGGGCACCAGUGGGCACCAGUACGCUCCCAGUAAGCUCCCAGUAUCACCAGUAAGCUCCCAGUAAGAGCAGGAAGCUCCCAGUUAGAGCAGGAAGCUCCCAGUAUGACCACUAGGCUCCCAGUAUCUCCAGUAACUUGGGCUGUGGGUGCUGCUGGGGGUUCUGGGGGGGCUCCCUGACCAUCAAGGACCUCAGGUGGGCACCAGUACGCUCCCAGUAAGCUCCCAGUGGGCACCAGUACGCUCCCAGUAAGACCAGUAAGCUCCCAGUUAGAGCAGGAAGCUCCCAGUUAGAGCAGGAAGCUCCCAGUAAGACCACUAGGCUCCCAGUAUCUCCAGUAACUUGGGCUGUGGGUGCUGCUGGGGGUCCUGGGGGGGGCUCCCUGACCAUCAAAGACCUCAGGUGGGCACCAGUGGGCACCAGUGGGCACCAGUACGCUCCCAGUAUCACCAGUAAGCUCCCAGUUAGAGCAGGAAGCUCCCAGUAAGACCAGUAAGCUCCCAGUAACUUGGGCCAUGGGAGCUGCUGGAGGUCCUGGGCCAGUCCCCCCCUGUCCCCUCCGAGUGCCUCCCAGAGCUCCCAGUAACCCGUCCCAGUGCUCCCAGUAACCCCUCCCAGUGCCUCCCAGUGCUCCCAGUAACCCCUCCCAGUCCCCCCAGCACCUUUAAUCCACAACCACCACCCCAAAACCGCCCCAAACCGCC